This 253-nucleotide ribosomal RNA is filed under the name uncultured bacterium. RNAcentral's name for it is "partial 16S ribosomal RNA". It matches the Rfam family "Bacterial small subunit ribosomal RNA", at positions 524 to 776 of the family's 1533-position model. The record is from RNAcentral.
UACGUAGGGACCGAGCGUUGUCCGGAAUCAUUGGGCGUAAAGAGCGUGUAGGCGGCCUUUUAAGUCCUGCGUGAAAUCCUGCGGCUCAACCGCAGACGGUCGUGGGAAACUGGAAGGCUAGAGUGCGGGAGAGGAGAGUGGAAUUCCCGGUGUAGCGGUGAAAUGCGCAGAUAUCGGGAAGAACACCCGUGGCGAAGGCGACUACCUGGCCCAUUCUUGACGCUGAGGCGCGAAAGCUAGGGGAGCGAACGGG